Molecule: ribosomal RNA, 253 nt
Filed under: uncultured bacterium
Lineage: Bacteria
Description: partial 16S ribosomal RNA
Rfam family: Bacterial small subunit ribosomal RNA
Source: RNAcentral
UACGGGGGGGGCAAGCGUUGUUCGGAAUUACUGGGCGUAAAGGGCGCGUAGGCGGCCAUCUAAGUCAGACGUGAAAUCCCUCGGCUCAACCGAGGAACUGCGUCUGAUACUGGAAGGCUUGAAUCCGGGAGAGGGAUGUGGAAUUCCUGGUGUAGCGGUGAAAUGCGCAGAUAUCAGGAGGAACACCGGUGGCGAAGGCGGCGCUCUGGACCGAGACUGACGCUGAGGCGCGAAAGCGUGGGGAGCAAACAGG